GAUGAAGAACGUAGCGAAAUGCGAUAAGUAAUGUGAAUUGCAGAAUUCAGUGAAUCAUCGAAUCUUUGAACGCACAUUGCGCCCGCUGGUACUCCGGCGGGCACGCCUGUCCGAGCGUCAUUUCAACCCUCAAGCCCUCCUUCGGGAUGGGCCUGGUGUUGGGGCUCGGCCGCCAUCUCCGGCGGCCGUCCCCUAAAUACAGUGGCGGUCACGUCGCGACUCCUUUGCGUAGUAGAAACACCUCGCUCCGGAUAGCAACGCGGUCCACGCCGUAAAACCACCAAUUUUCAAUGGUUGACCUCGGAUCAGGUGGGAAUACCCGCUGAACUUAAGCAUAUCAAUAAGCGGAGGA
RNAcentral lists this unclassified non-coding RNA (352 nucleotides) under soil metagenome. RNAcentral's name for it is "partial contains 5.8S ribosomal RNA, internal transcribed spacer 2, and large subunit ribosomal RNA". The stretch from base 1 to 120 matches the Rfam family "5.8S ribosomal RNA", at positions 35 to 154 of the family's 154-position model. The record is from RNAcentral.